Vitis vinifera (wine grape) is the source of this 638-nucleotide long non-coding RNA. RefSeq lists it as uncharacterized. The record is from RefSeq and is a predicted model, not a curated record. Lineage: Eukaryota; Viridiplantae; Streptophyta; Magnoliopsida; Vitales; Vitaceae. The transcript has 2 exons.
UCAAUCUUGGAAAAUCUCUCUUGUAUAUCUCUUCAAAGCAAGUUUCUCAAAUCAGGAGACUGGUUCAGUAAUUGAUUAACAGCUUGAUCAUGAAGACGCUACUUGUCCUCUGCGCUGCCUUAGGGUUUUUCUUGGUAACCCUGAAAGCUGAUGCAGGAAGGGUUACUUUGGAGGAAACGUAUAAGGAUCUCAAUAGGAAGGUGGGUGUUGGCGCUAAUGAUCAUUUUAAAACCAUUGCUGGAACCAUGGACAAUAAAGUAGCCAGCAACGCGGAUAGCGACUCCUCCAAUGGAUCUGAAGAUUCAGCUAGUCACCGAGUUUUCCCGGAAUUAACUAACCCUAGCGGAAACCAACCAGAAAAAUCUAACCCAGGCCGCCGAGGCUAAGAUAAGAAGAUGAUGGAUCAGGAUGAAGCUUAUCUAUGAUAGUAAUAAUAAUGUUGCGGAACCGACAUGUAAGUAGCCGAAAAGGCCAUGUUUGGUAUCACAAAAUUGCAUAAGGUGAUCAGCUCUGUCCCAUGCUUACUAUCUGGUGUAUGACGGGUUUCGGCUUGUCGAGUAUUACGCUUUUGUGUUAUGAAAUAUCAUCUUAAAUAAAAACCAUGGCUACCAUGGAUAUGGUGUGUGCUUGUUUAUGUA